CACGAAGAAGACACCGGCUAACUACCGUGCCAGCAGCCGCGGUAAGUACGGAGGGUGCGAGCGUUAAUCGGAAUUACUGGGCGUAAAGACGCAUGCAGGCGGCCGUGUUAAGUCAGAUGUGAAAGACCCGGGGCGUUAACCUCCGGAAUUGCAUUUGUAAACUAGGCAGGCUAGAGUCUUGUAGAGGGGGGUAGGGAAGUUUCAGGUGUAGCGGUGAAAUAGCGUAGAGAUCUGAAGGAAUACCAGUGGCGAAGGCGGCCCCCUCGGACAAAGACUGACGCUCAGAUGCGAAAGCGUGGGGAGCAAACAGGAUUAGAUACCCUGGUAG
This 328-nucleotide ribosomal RNA is filed under the name uncultured bacterium. RNAcentral's name for it is "bacterial SSU rRNA". It matches the Rfam family "Bacterial small subunit ribosomal RNA", at positions 481 to 793 of the family's 1533-position model. The record is from RNAcentral.